RNAcentral lists this ribosomal RNA (397 nucleotides) under uncultured bacterium. RNAcentral's name for it is "partial 16S ribosomal RNA". It matches the Rfam family "Bacterial small subunit ribosomal RNA", at positions 523 to 918 of the family's 1533-position model. The record is from RNAcentral.
AUACGUAGGGGGCGAGCGUUGUCCGGAAUGAUUGGGCGUAAAGGGCGCGUAGGCGGCCUGUUAAGUCUGGAGUGAUAGUCCUGUUUUCAAGAUGGGAAUUGCUUUGGAUACUGAUGGGCCUGAGUGCAGGAGAGGUUAUCGGAAUUCCCGGUGUAGCGGUGAAAUGCGUAGAGAUCGGGAGGAACACCAGUGGCGAAGGCGGGUAACUGGACUGCAACUGACGCUGAGGCGCGAAAGUGUGGGGAGCAAACAGGAUUAGAUACCCUGGUAGUCCACACUGUAAACGAUGAAUGCUAGGUGUAAGAGGUAUCGACCCCUUUUGUGCCGGAGUUAACACAAUAAGCAUUCCGCCUGGGGAGUACGGCCGCAAGGUUGAAACUCAAAGGAAUUGACGGGG